Ctenopharyngodon idella (grass carp) is the source of this 1537-nucleotide long non-coding RNA. RefSeq lists it as uncharacterized. The transcript has 5 exons. Lineage: Eukaryota; Metazoa; Chordata; Actinopteri; Cypriniformes; Xenocyprididae. The record is from RefSeq and is a predicted model, not a curated record.
CAAAGCACUGCAGCCUAAACAGUCUGAAACUAGAACAGCCUACAGCAUUAACACAGUGUUAUGAUGUAUGACAUUAAGACAUCAGAGAUGACUGAAGUUAUAUAUGAUAAUGUGAUGAUGACUGAGACUGUGGAAAUGGACAGAGGAGAAAGAGUGGAGAUGAUGGUGGAUAUCUAUGACAGUGCAGAUACUGUGAGAUGUCAUGAUCUGAGGACAAACACAGAGAGACAUCAGCCACUUCAACACACAGGAAGUUUUUCAAUGAAGAACAGAAAGCACAAAGCAGUUGAAGUGUGUUUGUGUCUGCUGUGUGUUCUUCUGCUGACUGCUGUAAUGGUGCUCUGUGUGUAUUUCACCACCGAGAGAAACCAGUUACUAACCCACAUCAAUAACCUGACUGAGGAAAGAAAACAGAUAUUUACCAAAUAUGAGCAGAUAUUGAACCACAGCAAUAAUCUGACUGCAGAAAGCAAGCAGAUAGAAAACAAGAUUGAUGAACUCCAACGUGGCCUUUAUGAACAAGAUCAGCGUGCUGACAACUUUAAAUGGAUUUACUACAACUUCAGUUUUUAUUAUAUUUCAUCUGAGGAGAAGUCAUGGAGUGACAGCAGACAAUACUGUCAACAGAGAGGAGCAGAUCUAGUGAUCAUAAACAGCCAAAAGGAACAAGAGUUUUUGAAGAAGGUUGUUGAUAAUAAUUCUUUUUGGAUUGGUCUGAGAAGGACAAAGGGAGUGUGGAAAUGGAUUGAUGGCACCACAAUAAAUGGGUACUGGAGUCCUCAGUACCAGUAUCCAUAUAGUGUAUAUGACUGUGGUCUAAUGACUCCAUCAGGUUGGGAAGAUUGGUCAUGUAAUGGUUAUUCUGAAAAAUGGAUCUGCGAGAGAACAAUUUUAAAAUCACUCAUUACAUAAAAUAUAUGUACAUACAGUGAAAUAAACCCAUCAUGUUUUUUGCUGCAGUGCGAUCCAGUCAGACAAACUGUGAUGGGAAAAAAUGAUUUUAUUUAUAACUAAAGAAUAAAAUUAAUAAUAAAACAACAAAACAAUGAAUGGAUACAUUAAUUUGUAAGUAAUAAUCAGCUUUUAAUAGUAAGUAACAAAGUAACAAUAAACCAAUCUGUAACAAAAUAUCUCUGAGUUAAUAUAUAUAAUAUAUUGCCACAAGAGUAAAAGGAGCAAAAGGGCCCUUCUUGCUAUAAGUGGGAUGCAAGAGCAAGAGAGAGUAGCAAAGUAAGAACUUUGCAAACACAUAUACAUAUUAUCUACACAUAUUCAGAUCACAUAAGGAAAUUGUAAGACUAUCAUGUCAAAAAUAACCUCUCUAAUCGCCUCUGACCUCUUGGUACUACAUAAUACAAGAGUAUAUAAGCAGUUUUAAAGGGAUAGUUCACCCAAAAAUGAAAAUUUGAUGUUUAUCUGCUUACCCCCAGGGCAUCCAAGAUGUAGGUGACUUUGUUUCUUCAGUAGAACACAAAUGAUGAUUUUUAACUCCAACCGUUGUGGUCUGUCAGUCGUAUAAUGCUUGUCAAUGGUAACU